Molecule: transfer RNA, 67 nt
Filed under: Aspidoscelis tigris
Lineage: Eukaryota; Metazoa; Chordata; Lepidosauria; Squamata; Teiidae
Description: partial tRNA-Glu
Source: RNAcentral
UUACUUGGCCUUAUAAUNCCAAGACUAGCAAUUCGGAAACUACUGUUGUAAUUCAACUAUAAAAGCC